Molecule: transfer RNA, 562 nt
Filed under: uncultured bacterium
Lineage: Bacteria
Description: partial ITS between 16S rRNA and 23S rRNA
Rfam family: tRNA (bases 205-279)
Source: RNAcentral
GGAGAACCUGUGGCUGGAUCACCUCCUUUCUAGAGUCACUCUCGGUUCUGCCUCUCAUGACAGAGCUCGAGACACUCGAGGUCGAUCGUCUGGUAGCCGGCGCCGAAAGGCGGCCGGCAAGCACUCUACUCAGUUUUGAAGGCAUCGGGUCUUCCCCGCGAGGGGGGAGCCUUUGUUCUUUGAUCAUCACCGAAGCGUCCCACUGGGCCUAUAGCUCAGUUGGUUUAGAGCACACGCCUGAUAAGCGUGGGGUCGGUAGUUCGAAUCUACCUAGGCCCACCACUUUAGGUUCUGGGUGGCAUUCGCAACCUUACGUGGGGCUGUAGCUCAGCUGGGAGAGCGGCGGCUUUGCAAGCCGUAGGUCGGCGGUUCGAUUCCGCUCAGCUCCACCAAUACGUGGUUCGGUGAAAUCGGACGGGUACCGAGGAUGAAAUGGCUCUCUGAACGACUCAGAGGGCUUUUUGAUCCGCGGUGAUCGCGAUCUUUGACAAGAGAGUCGGGUAGAAAACGAAAGAAAGAUUCGCGUCUUAGGUAUUUUAUGGUCAAGCUACUAAGGGUGGAC